UAUUCAGAGGUCUUUUAGGAUGCGCUAAAGGGUCGUGAGGGCUCUCUUAAAAUUUUCUUCACAAGCGGUUAUCCAGUCGUGCCCCGCGGCCCUGCUGCUGGCCCCGGGGAUCUGAGUCGUACCCUCUUGUUUUUCUCUGAGUCAGUCUUAAGGUGAAAUGAAGUGUGGCCCAGUGGCUCCUCACUGUCGCUUCUCUAGUUUUCUGCCUCCUUUUAGAAAAUGUAAGUUGAGAAUUUCUAAUUUACAUCGGGAUGUGUUCUAAUGCGCUUGUUUUUAAAACUGUGGAAAAUUUUUAAAAGAAAAUAAAUCUCACCAGUCAUCCAGCUACCCAGAAGUAACAUUUUCAUGCAUUACCUAUUAAUUUUUUUCUCUGCAUAUUUUUUCAUAGUUGAGAUAAUUUAGGGAAAACCAUUUUGUGUCCUUCAUAUAUGGAUGAAUACAAUAUAAUUUUGGUAUUAAUAUCAUAGCAACAAAGAAGGCAUUGAAGGCUUUAAAUCUGUUUACAGUGAAUUGAAAAGACAGGAUGAAGUGGACACAGCAUGUGAAGACAAUUCUUUCAAGAAGUUUGGCUGUCAAGGAAAACAGAGAAU
This 590-nucleotide unclassified non-coding RNA is filed under the name Homo sapiens (human). Its description in RNAcentral is "GIHCG inhibitor of miR-200b/200a/429 expression (ENSG00000262349.2)". The record is from RNAcentral. Lineage: Eukaryota; Metazoa; Chordata; Mammalia; Primates; Hominidae.